CCGGCGACGGGGAAUCUGAAGGAAGCCGGAUUGCAGAAAAAAACCGCAGGGCAAAACUCUGGCCCGACGAACAGAAACCAGGUAUAGGCCGUAAGCGAAGGGUAAGACUGCAAUUCAAACCAAAGCCCAAUAGCUGCACGGAAUCGCUUGCGGUAGACGUGGCGGGCAUAU
RNAcentral lists this non-coding RNA (171 nucleotides) under bovine gut metagenome. The record is from RNAcentral.